AUUGAACGCUGGCGGCAUGCCUUACACAUGCAAGUCGAGCGGCAGCGCGGGGGCAACCCUGGCGGCGAGCGGCGAACGGGUGAGUAAUGCAUCGGAACGUGUCCUUUUGUGGGGAUAACCAGUCGAAAGACUGGCUAAUACCGCAUGAGCUCGAGAGAGGAAAGCAGGGGACCGCAAGGCCUUGCGCGAGAGGAGCGGCCGAUGCCCGAUUAGCUAGNGGUGAGGUAACGGCUCACCAAGGCGACGAUCGGUAGCUGGUUUGAGAGAACGACCAGCCACACUGGGACUGAGACACGGCCCAGACUCCUACGGAGGCAGCAGUGGGGAAUUUUGGACAAUGGGCGCAAGCCUGAUCCAGCCAUGCCGCGUGCGGGAAGAAGGCC
Molecule: ribosomal RNA, 383 nt
Filed under: uncultured bacterium
Lineage: Bacteria
Description: bacterial SSU rRNA
Rfam family: Bacterial small subunit ribosomal RNA
Source: RNAcentral